This 425-nucleotide ribosomal RNA is filed under the name uncultured bacterium. RNAcentral's name for it is "partial 16S ribosomal RNA". It matches the Rfam family "Bacterial small subunit ribosomal RNA", at positions 354 to 796 of the family's 1533-position model. The record is from RNAcentral.
GUGGGGAAUCUUGCGCAAUGGGCGAAAGCCUGACGCAGCCAUGCCGCGUGAAUGAUGAAGGUCUUAGGAUUGUAAAAUUCUUUCACCGGGGACGAUAAUGACGGUACCCGGAGAAGAAGCCCCGGCUAACUCCGUGCCAGCAGCCGCGGUAAUACGGAGGGGGCGAGCGUUGUUCGGAAUCACUGGGCGUAAAGCGUGCGUAGGCGGUUAUACAAGUCAGGAGUGAAAUCCCAGGGCUCAACCUUGGAAUUGCUUUUGAGACUGUAUGACUAGAGAGCUAGAGAGGUAGGGGGAAUUCCGAGUGUAGAGGUGAAAUUCGCAGAUAUUCGGAGGAACACCAGUGGCGUAGGCGCCCAACUGGCUAGAUACUGACGCUGAGGCACGAAAGCGUGGGGAGCAAACAGGAUUAGAUACCCUUGUAGUCC